This is a non-coding RNA of Pelobates cultripes (western spadefoot toad), 1185 nucleotides long. The record is from the annotation of a GenBank genome assembly. Lineage: Eukaryota; Metazoa; Chordata; Amphibia; Anura; Pelobatidae.
GUCAAACCCAUCAGCAUGAGCUGGAGGGUAUGCACGGGCCUCUAAAGCAGGGGGCCGGCUGGGAUGGGCGUGAUAGGUGAGUAUUAAGGACGUGAGCAAGGGCAGAGAUUGGAUCGGAAGGCUCGGGGACGUUAGCCGGGGGCGGAGAAGGGGUUGGAGGAUCAGAGGGAGGAGGUGGAGGAGGAGGAGGAGGUAAAUCAGUGGGAGGCGGGGCAGGAAUCGCGGAAUUAACCAGGGAGGUAACAGCAGAGAAGAGGGCGGAUAUCGAGCUAGACAGGUCAUUGGCCAUGGUUGGGUCAGGGGUCACCGGGGGAGAGGUCGGAGGGAUGGGAACAGGGGGCUGGGUCGUAACAGCGUGGGUAAACCAGUCGGGGGAGGAGGAGACAACGAGGUAGAGGGGGCCAGGACUUCGGGAGGAGGAGGUAACACUGGAGAAGGGGUGGUAACGGGGGGUUGGGUCAGGGCGGUGAGGGCAGAAAUCAGGGACGGCAAAUCGGCCGAGGGAGGAGGAGGCAACGAGGUAGAGGGGACCGGGACUUCGGGAGGAGGAGGUAACACUGGAGAAGGGGUUGGAGGGGUGGUAACGGGGGGCUGGGUCAGGGCGGUAAGGGCAGAGAUUAGGGACGGCAAAUCAGCCGAGAGGGGAGGAGGCAACGAGGUAAAGGGGACCGGGAUAUCGGGAGGGGGUACCACUGGAGAAGGGAUUGGAGGGGUGGGAACGGGGGGCUGGGUCAGGGCAGUGAGGGCAGAGAUUAGGGACGGCAAAUCAGUCGGGAGGGGAGGGGACAACGAGGUAGAAGAGAGGUCCGGAGGCAUAAGGGAAGCGGGAUCAGCGGGAGGACAAGGGUCUGGAGGAUCUGGGGCGGUGGGGUGAGUAAGGUCGAGAGGGCAGAGAGCGGGGCAGCGGAUGGAGACGGGUGAGUGGGUAACACUGGGGAGGGGUAAGUCGAGGUGGAGAGGGGACGAGAGGCAAGCAUAGGUAAAGGUGGCGGGGGACAGGGAGGCGGAGGAAUGUCAUUUAACGUAAAGGAUGUUACUGUAAACAUACGAUUUGUAACUAGCAAGAUUCUAUUAAGUAAAGAUACAAUGUUUAAAAUAACUUGCAUUAUUUUGCAAUAUCCCUUGUUGCAAGACACAGGCAUUAAUGAAUAAUCAUCAGGAUAAUUAGCUGUAAUGCUCUUAUAU